UCCUUCCUUGUCUUGGGGAGCAUAAUAUCCAAUGAACGUAUAGUGAGGGUAUUGAUGCUGGCACCAAAAUAUAAACAAACUCCCGCUCGCUGGUGGUCGCUUUCGAACAGCGGCCAUCGGGGCGGAAUUUUUGAACCG
This is a small nuclear RNA of Uranotaenia lowii, 138 nucleotides long. RefSeq annotates it as U4atac minor spliceosomal RNA. The record is from RefSeq and is a predicted model, not a curated record. The transcript has a single exon. NCBI's taxonomy places the organism in Eukaryota, Metazoa, Arthropoda, Insecta, Diptera, Culicidae.